ACAGACAAACAAAACCAAAAAGAAACAGUAAAUUAACAAAAUACAUUUGAAGAUCAUACUGUUUUCAUCCUUGUCCAUGGAAUUUGUGUUUUGUCUUUGCCUUUUUUGAUGUCAAAAUAGAGGAGAUUGUUUGCAUCUAUAGAGAAUAAGUUGUAACGAUAGUCUUUAUUUUUGGUAAUGAAUAAGUAAGGUUAAAACUGUCUCUAUGAUUAUAAAAACUCAUGGAAUUAUCCAGGAAACUUUCAUUGCAAAGAAUUAAAAAGUUU
This 266-nucleotide long non-coding RNA is filed under the name Bos taurus (domestic cattle). Its description in RNAcentral is "long non-coding RNA NONBTAT011647". Lineage: Eukaryota; Metazoa; Chordata; Mammalia; Artiodactyla; Bovidae. The record is from RNAcentral.